RNAcentral lists this ribosomal RNA (484 nucleotides) under uncultured bacterium. RNAcentral's name for it is "partial 16S ribosomal RNA". It matches the Rfam family "Bacterial small subunit ribosomal RNA", at positions 30 to 507 of the family's 1533-position model. The record is from RNAcentral.
AUUGAACGCUGGCGGCAGGCCUAACACAUGCAAGUCGAGCGGAUGAAGGGAGCUUUCUCCUGGAUUCAGCGGCGGACGGGUGAGUAAUGCCUAGGAAUCUGCCUGGUAGAGGGGGAUAACGUCCGGACACGGGCGCUAAUACCGCAUACGUCCUGAGGGAGAAAGUGAGGGAUCUUCGGACCUCACGCUAUCAGAUGAGCCUAGGUCGGAUUAGCUAGUUGGUGGGGUAAAGGCCUACCAAGGCGACGAUCCGUAACUGGUCUGAGAGGAUGAUCAGUCACACUGGAACUGAGACACGGUCCAGACUCCUACGGGAGGCAGCAGUGGGGAAUAUUGGACAAUGGGCGAAAGCCUGAUCCAGCCAUGCCGCGUGUGUGAAGAAGGUCUUCGGAUUGUAAAGCACUUUAAGUUGGGAGGAAGAGCAGUAAGUUAAUACCUUGCUGUUUUGACGUUACCAACAGAAUAAGCACCGGCUAACUUCGUG